This is a long non-coding RNA of Ostrinia nubilalis (European corn borer), 653 nucleotides long. RefSeq lists it as uncharacterized. The transcript is spliced from 2 exons. The record is from RefSeq and is a predicted model, not a curated record. NCBI's taxonomy places the organism in Eukaryota, Metazoa, Arthropoda, Insecta, Lepidoptera, Crambidae.
GUAUCAAUACCGACAUAGAAUUAGGUAUUCUUAGCAUGACAUAGCAUAUUUAGUAAUUUAAUCAUGGAAUAUUCGAAUAAAUAACCUCAAACGUCUCAAAUCACAGUCCCCUGGUACGUCCCUUUUCCAGAAUUACACAUAUUGUUACAAAUGUUUAUUAUAUUGCUGUUGAUAUUUGAAUAAAAAAUAUCCAAAUACAUUAACAAUAACAGUUAGCAUCUUAAUACAUCACAAACAAUGUUUACAAUAUGAUUUUAAUCAAAAUAUCCUUCUGAGAAUGCUGUCCUCAAAUUAUUAAAACAUUCCCCUGUUAAAAUUUUAAAACCGGUUUAAAGUCAUAUUUAGUUUUGGCACAAAGCACUUAGAUCGCAAAACGGAACGCAAUAGGUGUUAAGGUUGUUCAGUUGUGUAGCUAGUGGGCAGCCGCUAUUUUGUUUAAUACUACUACUGCGUCAUCUGGUGAACCACGCGUCUCGGCCGUCAGUGAAAACAUUCCCCUGUAGGUAUUAUCUCAAAAUUUCACCGAAAAAGAAGCUACGCGAAACAUGAGAAGAAUUUCUAGAAAAAAAACGUAUAGCUGUGCAAUUAUGAUAUCAUCGACUUGAAACAUUACCCUAAAAGAAAAAUUGAAAAAAAGAAGAAAAAAGAAAAAC